Paramuricea clavata is the source of this 1749-nucleotide non-coding RNA. The record is from the annotation of a GenBank genome assembly. Lineage: Eukaryota; Metazoa; Cnidaria; Anthozoa; Malacalcyonacea; Plexauridae.
GGCUUUUUUUCCCCCCCCCCCCCCCCCCCCCCCCCCCCCCACACGCAAGCAAAUAAACACCUGUUACGCAUAUCAUAUAACAGCUUUGAAAGACACUGCACCUGAAAAGCGUCUAAGAAUUAGAAUAUACCUGGCUCUGUCACCGUAAACGAUACGAAUUUGGAAAAUCAUUAUUUUCCACAAAACAGACAUAUUAUACAUGUUUCAAACACUCAUUAAUAAUUCAUAAGUUUAUUGGCAAAUCAUGUCAACCAUAAUAUGUCACGUGCAGUGGCUUUAAACCACUCCUAAUUAGUAUUCCUUAUAUAAAGAAUAUUAGUAAGGCAGUAUCUAUUGCAAGUCAUGUCCUCAUUAGUAUUCUUGAAUUUGUAAUCGUGUUUGAAGCUGUUUAAUAAACUCGCAGGACGUGUUUUAUUAGGUCUAAACUAAAUUUCGUCUAAACGUCUUUAAACCUAAUAAAACACUCUCUAUGUUGGUUUUUACACGCGUCUGUUAGUACAAAUUAUAGCGAAAGUGAAACCUUCGAGAGUUAUUAUUUUUGAAACAAAAAACCCCCUGUAAUUUCCUAAAAAUAAUUUGACCUUUGGCUUUGGUCCUUCUAUGCAGUGGCGGCGCCACGGGGAGGACUGGGGAGGACACGUCCUCCCCAGUUCUCUUCAAGGUCGAUUUUCUAAUUUGUCCAAAUCCGGUGAGAAAUUUUUUUUGGGGGGGGGGGGUACGUUUGUGACAUCAGUCCAGUUAUUUAGAUAUAACUUAAUAAAUUCAGUCUUUAUUGUGUGAAUAAAAACCGGUAUUAAAAGAUCUUCGCUUUACUUUUGACAAAAGACCAUUUCAUAUAUGCGGCAUUUACCAUUAGCAUAUUGCAGGCACUGAUUACGACCGCCGAAGGAAACCCAUCAUAAUGGGUUAACAUAUUACCCAAAUUAAGUGCAAUAGGUAAUGUGUGAUGCGGAAGUUUGGUCCUGUUGCUGAGAUGUGAGGGAAAUAUGUUAAUUAAUGCACUGUUCGCGCAACAUAUGGUCAUUAGCUUCUUGGAAUGCAUCACUACACAACUGAAAGAGAAAAAUGUUCGAAGGAAGAGAUCCAUCAAGUGAAAUUGUGUGUGAGGGAGGCAAAUAGAACCUUCGUUUUCGAAUCUUGACGGUUAGACUCUGACGGUUAGACCUAUCUUAGAUUUUUCAACAUCGGAAAUAUCGAUGAGAAAGUUUACAUUCCAAAAGAAAUGGUACGAAGAGUACAUAUAUAUGACUGGAAUAUUCAAUGUAACAACUGCAAGAUUACAUACGAGCAUCAUAGCAGCGAAGAGAUGGAAAGGAAAGAGUCUAGAGAAAGGGUCCAAAAGAAAGUUUCCACCUUGGAUUUGCUUGCCCUCCUUGCUCGAAGUUUUCAGCAAAGAUGAUCUACACCACCUUCAUCCCGACUUGUUUGAGGUCGCUACCUUGCCUGUGACAGUGGCAUCACGUGAACGCACACACAGCAAGGUCAAAAUAAUAAACAAUAAUUUGCGAGUUGCUAUGUCACCUGAUAGACUCGAGGACCUUGUCCAGAUUAGCAACGAACGAGAUCUAGCCAACAAUAUUGAACUUAGCAAAUUAGUGGAAAUAUUUAAGCUUGCAAAACCUCAUAAGCUUGUCAUGCAAGGAGAUCUACGAUAACAUAUAGCCAUUAUUAUUCUACCUAACAGUUAUUUUCAUUUGUAUUUAAAUAUAAAAUAAUGUUGACUUCAAUUUUCCUGGAAGUAGCAAUUCC